UACGGACCGGACAAACGUUAUUCGGAAUCACUGGGCUUAAAGAGUUCGUAGGCGGCUCAGCAAGUUGGGUGUGAAAUCCCUCGGCUCAACCGAGGAAUUGCACUCAAAACUGCUGAGCUUGAGGAAGGUAGGGGUAAGCGGAACUGAUGGUGGAGCGGUGAAAUGCGUUGAUAUCAUCAGGAACACCAGUGGCGAAGGCGGCUUACUGGGCCUUCUCUGACGCUGAGGAACGAAAGCUAGGGUAGCGAACGGG
This 253-nucleotide ribosomal RNA is filed under the name uncultured bacterium. RNAcentral describes it as "partial 16S ribosomal RNA". It matches the Rfam family "Bacterial small subunit ribosomal RNA", at positions 524 to 776 of the family's 1533-position model. The record is from RNAcentral.